This 690-nucleotide unclassified non-coding RNA is filed under the name Viscum pentanthum. RNAcentral describes it as "sequence contains ITS1, 5.8S rRNA gene, ITS2". The stretch from base 280 to 438 matches the Rfam family "5.8S ribosomal RNA". Lineage: Eukaryota; Viridiplantae; Streptophyta; Magnoliopsida; Santalales; Viscaceae. The record is from RNAcentral.
UUUCCGUAGGUGAACCUGCGGAAGGAUCAUUGUCGAAAGCCCAUUGAAUGUCGGUGGACAUGCGGACUUGUCGCUACAUAUACGGGGGGUGUGGCCCGGUCACUAACCUUUGGUUGAUGGGGAUGUGUUCGGGACAGCCCAUGUAAACCGUGUUCUAACACUUCAAUCGGCAGAGAGCCCGCCAAGGAAGCUAUAUAAGAAAGUCUCACCCUCCACCCCCACAUCGCAUGGCGUGCAUGUGGGAGUCGGGGAGGUGGAUCGCGCAAUCGCGACGUUAAGGACUCUCGACAAUGGAUAUCUCGACUCUCGUAUCUAUGAAGAACGCAGCGAAAUGCGAUACGUGGUGCGAAUUGCAGAAUCUCGUGAAUCAUUGAGUUUUUGAACGCAAGUUGCGCCCGAAGCCAUUUUUUGGUUGGGGGCACGCCUGCCUGGGUGCCAUGCAUGGAGUUAUCCCGGGGCCUCCUCCGGGAGGGGACUCGUUUAUGUUGUUGGCUUCCUUGAGGGAGGGGACCAUUGGGGUGGAUGCUGGCCUUCCGUUCCAUGUUGUUCGGUUGGUUUAAAUUCGGGGUCCCAAUGCGACUUGCGCCGCGAUGAGUUGGGGGAAGACAAUGUUCGUCCCUUGUCGGUUGGUGAGCCACCUUCGGUCCCAUGGCCACGUUGACACUUUGAUGGGGUAGCCGUCCAGGCCCC